RNAcentral lists this ribosomal RNA (500 nucleotides) under uncultured bacterium. RNAcentral's name for it is "partial 16S ribosomal RNA". It matches the Rfam family "Bacterial small subunit ribosomal RNA", at positions 30 to 523 of the family's 1533-position model. The record is from RNAcentral.
AUUGAACGCUGGCGGAAUGCUUUACACAUGCAAGUCGAACGAUGAACCUUAGCUUGCUAAGGGAAUUAGUGGCGAACGGGUGAGUAAUGUAUCGGAACGUAUCCAAUAAUGGGGGAUAACUAGUCGAAAGAUUAGCUAAUACCGCAUACGUCCUACGGGAGAAAGCUAGGGACCUUCGGGCCUGGCGUUAAUGGAGCGGCCGAUAUCUGAUUAGCUAGUUGGUGGGGUAAAGGCUCACCAAGGCGACGAUCAGUAGCUGGUCUGAGAGGACGACCAGCCACACUGGAACUGAGACACGGUCCAGACUCCUACGGGAGGCAGCAGUGGGGAAUUUUGGACAAUGGGCGAAAGCCUGAUCCAGCCAUUCCGCGUGAGUGAAGAAGGCCUUCGGGUUGUAAAGCUCUUUCGCAAGGGAAGAAAACUUAAGCUCUAACAUAGCUUGAGGUUGACGGUACCUUGAUAAGAAGCACCGGCUAACUACGUGCCAGCAGCCGCGGUAA